UGCGUAGGUGGUUCCGUAUGUCAGAUGUGAAAUGCCACGGCUUAACUGUGGAACUGCAUUUGAAACUGCGGGGCUAGAGUGCAGGAUGGGAGAGUGGAAUUCUUGGUGUAGCGGUGAAAUGCGUUGAUAUCAAGAAGAACACCGGUGGCGAAGGCGGCUCUCUGGAAUGCAACUGACACUGAGGCACGAAAGCUGGGGGAGCAAACAG
RNAcentral lists this ribosomal RNA (208 nucleotides) under uncultured bacterium. RNAcentral describes it as "partial 16S ribosomal RNA". It matches the Rfam family "Bacterial small subunit ribosomal RNA", at positions 568 to 775 of the family's 1533-position model. The record is from RNAcentral.